Molecule: small nuclear RNA, 19 nt
Filed under: Arabidopsis thaliana (thale cress)
Lineage: Eukaryota; Viridiplantae; Streptophyta; Magnoliopsida; Brassicales; Brassicaceae
Description: snRNA_00362
Source: RNAcentral
UGGAGCGGUCUGGGAAGGC